AGGAUAAACGCUGGCGGCGUGCUUCAGGCAUGCAGGUCGAACGGUUUAUAGGACUUCGGUCUUGUAGAUAGUGGCGGACGGGUGAGUAACACGUAAGCAACCUGCCCCGAAGCGGGGAAUAACUGACCGAAAGGUUAGCUAAUACCGCAUGUGAUGGCGACCCCUGGGAUGUCAUUAAAGGCUUCGGUCACUUCGGGAGGGCUUGCGGUCGAUUAGCUAGGUUGGUGGGUAAUGGCCUACAAGGCAACGAUCGAUAGCUGGUACUGAGAGGCGACAGCCAACGACGGGGACUGAGACUACCGGCCCGACUCCGUACGGGAGCAGCAGCUAGGAUCGUGGAAUGGACAAGCCUGACCCAGCAACGGCGCGUGGCGAGUGAAGG
Molecule: ribosomal RNA, 382 nt
Filed under: uncultured soil bacterium
Lineage: Bacteria
Description: bacterial SSU rRNA
Rfam family: Bacterial small subunit ribosomal RNA
Source: RNAcentral